This 28-nucleotide small RNA is filed under the name Bombyx mori (domestic silkworm). RNAcentral describes it as "ovarian small RNA-37157". The record is from RNAcentral. Lineage: Eukaryota; Metazoa; Arthropoda; Insecta; Lepidoptera; Bombycidae.
UUCCCAGAAGUUACACGACCUGCGGGUA